AGCGAACGUUAAGCGGCGCGCCUAACACAUGCAAGUCGCACGAGAAACGGAGCAAUCCGCGGUACAGUGGCGCACGGGUGAGUAACACGUGGAUGACCUUCCCUGGAGUGGUGGAUAACCUGCCGAAAGGCGGGCUAAUACAGCAUGGGACCACGACGCUUUGGCGAUGUGGUGAAAGCGGGCCUCUAUAUAUAAGCUCGCGCUCCGGGACGGGUCCGCGUCCCAUCAGCUAGUUGGUGAGGUAAUGGCUCACCAAGGCUUCGACGGGUAGCUGGUCUGAGAGGAUGGCCAGCCACACUGGAACUGAGACACGGUCCAGACUCCUACGGGAGGCAGCAGUGGGGAAUCUUGCGCAAUGGGCGAAAGCCUGACGCAGCGACGCCGCGUGGGCGAAGAAGGCCUUCGGGUUGUAAAGCCCUGUGGGGAGAACGAACCGUACGGGGGCGAAUACCCUCCGUGCCUGACGGUACUCCUUUAGCAAGCAUCGGCUAACUCUGUG
Molecule: ribosomal RNA, 499 nt
Filed under: uncultured bacterium
Lineage: Bacteria
Description: bacterial SSU rRNA
Rfam family: Bacterial small subunit ribosomal RNA
Source: RNAcentral